Molecule: long non-coding RNA, 16293 nt
Filed under: Ananas comosus (pineapple)
Lineage: Eukaryota; Viridiplantae; Streptophyta; Magnoliopsida; Poales; Bromeliaceae
Description: long non-coding RNA (ACOM_LNC019674)
Source: RNAcentral
GCCUUGCCUUCACAAACAAUACAUGAUGUAGCAGACGCAGACCACGCAGAAGCAAAUCAAAGUUUGGAGGGGAAGGACGACAAUAUUGCGAGUCUUGAGAAAGAAAGUAUCAAAAGCAAGGGACCUGAUGAGGUUCACCCCAGUGAAUCAGAAACACAUCAGAGUUUGGUGGACAAAGACAACAAUAUUGUAAGUCUUGAAAAAGAAAGCAUUGAAAGCAAAGGGCCUGAUGAGGUUCAACUCGGUGAAUCAGAAGCCACCAAGGUAGACUUUCUUUUGAAUUCUUCAAAACUUUAUGUAUUUAAUUUAACUAUUCAAUUUGCUUUCCUUGAACUCACUGUUUUUCCAACAUGCCUCCUCAUCUCAAGUUUGACUUGUGAAAAAUUUGAUCAACCAGGUUGCUGAAAUUGUUAGCACAACUGAUGAGGCUGAAACUACGUCUGUAGACGGAGGGGAAAGUGUUGAUGUCGACAAAGAUAAGGCAGAGUAUCAAGAGCACAAAAAUGUUAGAGGGUCAGUGAUGGAGGAAUAUAAUCAAGGGGAAGCAAAUGAAACACAAAUGGCCAAGAGCCAUGAGGUAAUAAUUGAUUCAAUGCCACGUAUGGUUUCUUACUAAGUCCAAAAUUCGUAUAUUUUACUGCAUGGCCAGAAGUAUAGAAACGAUUGAACUAAUAAUUCUUAACUUCUCCUCUAAAACCCUCAUUUCAAUAUAACAUUAAUUGUUGUCCUAUCUUGAUCAGAUCCCUGAAAUGGAUGAUCUAAGCCCUGAAAAGGCUUCGGAGACAAAUAAAUCGGUGAUGAAAGAUAUACAUGACAAAACUAAAACAAAGCAUGAAGAGCCAGAUUUUGCAAGUAACAAGCCAAUUAAUCAGACUAACAUGCCUGAACAAAGUCGAAUUCCUGAAGAAGAAAAUACUAUCAUGGAAAGCAAAACGGAGUCAAGCUUCCCAAAGGAUGCAAUUGAAAAUGCCCUGAAAUCAGACCCUGAUGAGAAAGAUGAGGAAAUGCUAAAGAAUGAGGAAUCCUCACAUAUUUUCCCAGAGUCCUCUCCCAACGUUGAUCAUAAAAUUGCUAGGGGAUUAUCUCAUCAAGAUGAAGGGAACAAGAUAUGUGAGGAUGCAGCACUAGAAACCCCAUCUGGCAAUCAAAGCCGUGAAGCAGAUGAGGAGCAAAUAGAAAUUGGGAAACCUAAAAAGCUGAACGAACUUAAACAAGAUAUUCCUAUGAAGUACUUUGAUGCUGUAAACAGUCAAGAAGAGACGAUACAUAAAGAAAAUCCUGAUAAUGUGGAAGAGAGCGAGAAGUGUGAAGUAAAGGAUGAAACUGCUUUAACACUCGAGCGAGCAUCUGCAGCGGACUCUGAAGAGCCCAGUCAUUGGCUGUUUAGCAGUUGUGAGAAGGUAUCCAAGUCUUAACCCAUACAAAAAUUUCAACAUUCUUUAUCCUUAUUUAUGAAUUGUUAAUGAAUAAACUAUUGACAAAGAAUUUUAAGUUUCUAUCCGCACAAGUUGUGCCCACCAUGCCAUACCAUGCAGACAAUAUAUCAGCAUGAUACCACCCGCAUGCCGAUGGCACAACUCAAAAUCAUUUUUUUUUCAAAAAUUAACAAGUAGCUACAUUAAUCAAAUACCAAAGAAUAUAGUUGUGCCAAAAGAAAAUAUAUGUUUUCAUAGUUGGAUAAAUUGAGUAGAAAAAGUAUAUGAAGCAGAAAGAUGAAAAAGUCUUUGAGUGUAGCAAUGCCACUCUCCUUAAAGCUAAAUCGUCCCCACCAUUCUCGUAAUUUGGUGUGCACUGGGUUAACAAAUAGCUUCUCAGGAUACAAUGAAAUAUAAACCUCAACUUCGUUUGCACACGUGAAGUCGAGCCUUUGAGCACUCACUCGAUUAAAUUGUCAAAAAGAAAAUAGAAUAAGAAACAAGAAAUUAUUAUAGAUAGAGACUUAAACUUUCCAACUGUCCUUCAGCAGUCAACGUUAUGGACUUAUAUGGACCACGAACAGGUGCUUUAUGAAGUGACAAUUCAUGAACGGGUGCUUCAUGAAGUGACUUUUCCUUUGAUCAUAACUAUCAAUUAGUUAUAUGAGUCAAGUUCAAUGAAUGUAAGAAUUAAUUUCAACGGACAUCCAUGAAAGGACACACUAAAAAGUUGUCUUUCUAUGUCUUAUCCUUUCAAUAAAAAUCACAUCCUUUCAUAUUCAUUCACCAAGAGUUACGACCUUUGAUUAGAGUCACAUCUACUCACUAAGAGUCGCAUUUGUACUAAGGGUUGCAUCCAUUCACUAAAACUCAAAGGACAAAAUAAAUAUAUAUUUUAAAAAUUUCCUUACAUUCAUGCCACAAUGUAUUGGCACAUAGAUAUCGUGCCAACAGCAUAGAUUGACACGGCAUAGCACGAUGGUGUGCCAUGCCACACCGUUGCUUAGCAUGAACCUGCAACUGACUAAGUGCAAAAUGUAGAUCAGAAGAUGAAAGAUGGGCAACCAAAAAAAAAAAGAGAAAGUAAGAUUUGUAGUUUCUGCAAGGGGCAUUUUAGCCAACUAAUCUCAUCCAAACUUUAUAUUCUAAAAAUAGGCCUACGAAAAUCGUAUUUACGGAAAUAGGCACGAAACUGCCACGUAAGCAGUGAGAUAGCGGAGGAAGAUAGAAGCCGUGAACCAAGUACCACUUUCAAGUGAAGACGGUAAAUGAUUCACCGCUUUCAUAAAAUUUUAAAAAUCCUAUGAAGGCGGUGAAUGGUUCACCGCCUUCAUGCAAUUCCCCGCGCAGAAUAUAAUAGUUAUGAACGCGGUGAAUGGUUCACUGCAUAUUAAGGCGGUGAAUCAUUUACCGCUUUUAUAUGCAGUGAUCCAUUCACCGCAUUUAUGAUAACCCCCACCCAGCCAAUUAGUUUGCAGAUUCCCACAUUAUACAAAAUAGCAAUAUUUUCAAGCAUUUCAAUUACAAGAAUAAAUACACAAAAUCAUCUAUAUCAACUUCAACCACACUUUAAGCAUAUAAAAUGAGCCAUACCAAUAUCAAGAUACUUCAAUAUGAAUAAAUUUAGAUAAUACCAUAAAAAAUCAAUGUAGAAAAAAUCAGAAAUAUCAAAUAUACAUGAGAAUCCCAAAAAUGAUAAACAAAAUCAAGUCCCCUCCAUCCCCCUCACAUGCUCUCGCCCUCGUCCCCUGCCACGUCCACGUCUGCGUCCACAACCGCGUCCUCGACUUCGUCCUCGAAUAUGCAUAUCAUGCUCCAUCCCAGGCUGCACGGGCUCAAUGACAUGCAUCUGAUCAAUAUGCUCAAUGGCGAUGCCCUCGACAAUCGGCUCCACCCCUUGCUCAUCAGCCGAUGGUACUGCGUCUCAAUAUGACCCUAUCAUCGUCGCCUACAUCAAUAUACAACAUCAUCGCAAUGAACCUAUGACGUGGAUGAAACGUCAGGAGGGAUAGGCAUGAAUGGAAUAUCAAAAUAGGAUACCUCUGACGUAGAUGGAAUAUCAAAUGGAGGGAUGGAUGCCGACGAAAUAUCAAACUCCACUUCUGAUGUCGAAGGGAUAUCAGAUGUCGAAGGGACAUCAGAUGGAUGAAUCGGGACAGAUGUCGAUAGAAAAUCAUAUGUAGGCAUGGAGGUGGAGGGAAUAUCACCAAAAUCAUAUACAGGCAUGGAGGUGGAGGGAAAAUCACUGUAAUCAGCAAAAGCCGGAGAAGGAAUAUCCGGAUGCCCUGUCACGGGAAAAGGGCCACCAACAACUACAUUCGAAAAUUCGUACUCCCUACAAUUGAUAGAAGAAGGCAAUCUAAAAUAAUUAUACAAUUGUUAUAUUAAAAUAAUUAUACAAAAGUCAUAUUUUGCAAUACUAACCUGGGUGCAUUUGCUCCUCCUCCAAUAUCAGCACGAAAAUGUUCUCUUUCGGGGCCAGGGAAUAAUACAUCCACAUUAAAGUCACUAUUUAACAUUCUAGAAUAAUACCCCUGAGAUAAAACCAUCUGUUUUUCAACGAAGAUUAUCAAACACGGAGGGUUCCCCGACAAUGCCAUCGCACCACACAAUGAGUCAUCAUCCGUAACUUCAACAACAUCGAACUGAUUCAUCCCAGUCGAAUAUCGGACUUUGAUAAUUAGACGAUACUCAUCUCUUGGGGUAUCGGUCAAUCUAUAUAUUUUUCUCUCGAAUUCUGUAAAUGUAAUAUCCACUGGGAUACACACUUAAUUUCUUACGACCGCCAACGUACUGUGGAUUGCUAUCUUGAGUGAAUAGUUCUCCAUUCCAAUGAACAAUAAUAGCCACAUUACUACGCGCCAUCCUAAUUUUUACAAAAUAUAAUAUUUAUAAACUAACAUAAUCGUAGCAAUAUUUGACCAAUUUAUAAUAUCAAUUUGCAAAUGACAUGUGUUCACUACAUCAGAAAAUAAUAAAUUUAUAAUAUUGUAAUAAUUUUAAAAAAAAAUUAUUAAUUUUUAGUAUAAAUUUAUCAAUUUUCAGUAUAUAUGUAUUUACUACACUCAUUUUUCAAAUUUCAUCAUACGAUGAUGCAAAUGUAAGGAAAUUUUUAAAAUAAUAUAUUUUGUUUAUUAAUUUUUAGUGAAUGGAUGCAACCCUUAGUGAGUGGAUGCAACUCUAAUCAAAGGGUGUAACUCUCAGAGUUAAAGGAUGUGACUUUUAGUGAAAGGAUAUGACAUGAAAAGACACAUCUUUAUCGUGUGUCUCUUCGAGUAUAUGUCCGUUGGAAUUAAUUCUUACAUUUAUUGAACUUGACUCAUAUAACUAAUUGGUAGUUAUGGUCAAAUGAAAAGUCACAAUUGAAAGAUCACUUCACGAAAUACCCGUUCAUGAAUAGUCACUUCAUGAAGCACCCGUUCGUGGUCUAUAUAAGUCCACAGCGUUGGUUGCAGAAACGAAAGUAGAAAAAAAAAGGAACAGUUGAAGAGUUUUAAGUCUCCAUUCAUAAUAAUUCCAUUCUUGUUUUCUUAUUCUUUUUGACAACUUAAUCGAGUAAGUGCUCAAAGGCUCGACUUCGUGUGUGCAAACGCAGUUGAGGUUUAUGCUUCAUUGUAUCUUGGGAGGCUGUUCGUUGACCCGGUGCACACCAAAUUGUUAGAACAGUAGUGACGGAUUAAGCCUUAAGGAAAGUGGCAUUGCUACACGCCUUGAAGCCUUUUUUCAUCUUUCUGUUUCAUACCUUUUUCACUAUCUGCUCUUAAAUCCGAAAAUGUCGACUGCUACUCAACGAGAGAUGACAACAAACUUUAUAAGACUAGAAAGAUUUGAUGGCAUGGACUUCAGGCGCUGGCAGAAGAAAUUAUUUUUCCUUCUGUCGACUCUCAAAGUUGCUUAUAUCCUCACUACUCCAAGACCAGAAGAAAACGAUGAUGAACCUAUUGCACAAACUUGUACAAGACAAAAAUGGGAUGAAGAUGACAAUAUAUGCCGAGGCAACAUUGUAAAUGCUAUGUCGGAUGCGCUUUUUGACGUCUAUCAAAAUAUGAAAAUGGCUAAAGAACUGUGGGAAGGUCUUGAAGAAAAAUACAAAUCCGUGGAUGCCACAAGUAAGAAGUUUCUUGUUAGCAAAUUUAAUAACUAUAAAAUGGUUGAUAGUAGAUAUGUUCUUGAUCAAUUACAUGAAAUUCAACAUAUUCUCAAUCAACUUACUCAACAUAAUAUGAAUAUGGAUGAAUCUAUAAUUGUGGCCUCUAUUAUCGAUAAACUUCCUCCAUCAUGGAAAGACUUUAAGAAAAGUCUUAAGCAUAAAAAGGAAGAGAUUACUCUUAAAGAUUUGGCUAACCAUCUUCGCAUAGAAGAAUAUCGUUUGCAUGAUGGCAAAAAGGAGCAAGAUGCUCGGAGUGUCAAAGUGUAUGUGACGGAAGAUGAGUAUAAUAAAACCCGUCAACCCAUAAAAGAAAAUCGAAAGAGAGCCAAACAUCCGAUCAACCACAACAUGACAAAUAAGAAAAAGAAAGAUGCAUGCUUUCAUUGUGGUAAACCGGGUCACUACAAGAAAGAAUGUCGGUUCCUCGAAAGGGAAAGUGCACCGGAUUCCAAAAGGAAUUUUGUGGCUAUGAUAUCCGAGGCUAACAUACUCGAAGAUGACGGAGUUUGGUGGAUUGAUUCAGGUUCCACAAGACGUGUGCAAGGAUAGAAGUUUAUUUAGAACUUAUGAUGCAUUGGAGGAUGGAAAUGUUCUCUAUGUGGGCAAUUCUUCAACAGCACAAAUCAAAGUAAAGAACACUCCAAUGAGAAAACUGAUGUUGUAAUUGAAACCCCAAAACUUAGAAGAAGUAAAAGAGUUAGAAUUGCUAAAACAUUUGGACCGGAUUUUUAUACUUUUCUUGUUGAGGGUAGUAGAGAAAUGAUUACAGAAAGUUUUCAAUUUUGUUUAAACAUUGACUCAGACCCCUAAACAUUGACUCAGACCCCACAACAUUUGAGGAGGCAAUGAAAUCUCCUGAUGUCACUUUUUGGAAAGAAGCGAUAAAUGAUGAAAUGGACUCAAUUAUGGCCAACCAAACAUGAAAAUUAGUUGAUCUUCCUCAUGGAUGUAAACCUAUUGGGUGUAAAUGGAUUUUCAAAAAAAAAUCAACGUAAAUGGCACCAUAGAUAAAUUCAAGGCAAGACUUGCUGCCAAAGGGUUUACACAAAAAGAAGGCAUUGAUUAUUUUGAUACCUAUGCACCUGUUGCCAGAUUAGCGACCAUUAGAACUUUGAUUGCUCUUGCUUCUAUGUAUAAUUUGAUUAUUCAUCAAAUUGAUGUCAAAGCUGCAUUCUUAAAUGGAGAAUUAGAUGAAAAGUUUAUAUGGAACAGCCCGAGGGCUUUGUUGUUCUUGGACAAGAGCAUAAAGUGUGUAAACUUGUCAUGUCAUUGUAUGGGCUUAAACAAGCACCUAAACAAUGGCAUCAAAAAUUUGAUCAGAUUGUUCUUUCCAAUAGUUAUAAAAUUAAUCAAUCUGAUAAAUGUAUUUAUAGUAAAUUUUCAAAUGGUAAAGGUGUUAUUAUAUGUCUAUAUGUUGAUGACAUGUUAAUUUUUGGCAUCGAUGUUCAGCAAGUAGAAAAUACUAAAAGUUUUUAAUCUUGCAAUUUUGAUAUGAAAGAUAUGGGGGAGGUUGAUAUUAUUUUGGGAAUUAAAAUUAUUCGUGAAAAUAAUGGUUUAUUUUUAACGCAGUCUUAUUAUAUCGAAAAGAUUCUUAGGAAAAAAUUAGUUAUUUUGACUGUACUCCAGUAUCUACUCCUUUUGAUCCUAAUCUAAAAUUAGUUCGCAAUACUGGUAGAUCAAUUAAUCAGUUAGAAUAUUCUAAGAUUAUUGGAAGUUUGAUGUAUGCCAUGUCUUGUACUAGGCCUGAUAUUGCAUUUGCUGUUGGUAAAUUAAGUAGAUUUAUUAGCAAUCCAGGUAAUGUACAUUGGCAUCCUAUUUACAGACUUUUGAAAUAUUUGAAAAAGACUAUGGAAUUUUCUAUAGUGGAUAUCCAACAGUAUUGGAAGGCUAUACAGAUGCCAGUUGGAUAACAAAUCAAGAAGAUCAUGCAUCCACAAGUGGGUAGAUAUUUAUAUUAGGUGGAGGUGCGAUUUCUUGGGGUUCUAAGAAACAAACAUGUAUAGCGGACUCUACCAUGGCAGCAGAAUUUAUAGCACUAGCGUCUGCUAGUAAGGAGGCGAAAUGGAUAAGGAAUUUAUUAUAUGAAAUUCUAGUUUGGCCAAAACCAAUGCCGCCGGUAUCGCUACAUUGCGAUCGUGAGGCUACGCUUUCGAGAGCAUAUAAUCAAACAUACAAUGGGAAGUCAAGACAUAUUGGAUUAAGACAUAGCUAUGUAAAACAACUGAUAUCAGAUGGCAUAAUUACCAUUGAUUUUGUAAGAUCAAACCAAAAUCUUGCGGAUCCGUUGACUAAGGGACUUCCAAGAGAAUUGAUAUUCAAGACAUCAAUGGGGAUGGAUCUCAAGCCCAUAUUACAAAGUCACCAAUGAUAGAAACUCGACUUAACACUUGAAACAUCAUCAAGUCUUAAGUUCAAUGAGCCAAAGUACAUCAUAUGGAGUGAUUGCAAGCACUAUAAUAUAAAAUUUCCAUCCCAAGUGCUUGGUAUCCGUAUUGAAAAGGGAAAGUUGAACUAAUAAAGUUCUUAAUAGACCUACAGUAGUAUUUACUGAAGUGUUAAAUACGGGACACUUCUGGUAGAGUCUACCUAUAUGAAUGUGAAGUGUGGCCGCUUCUAGGAGUUAAGGGCUUGACUCUAACAGCAUUCAUGAAACAGGAUGCGGACACAAGGCCAUAAAAGUGUCAGCAAUAAAAUAGAGCACUCGAUUGAUUAUAAAUUCCUAUGUGUGAGAUAUGUUCGGUUAGUCAAAAAAUAAUUGUUGGUUCAAAGCUUGUCUACCAUUCAAUUAUGUCUAACUUUGAUGAGUUUUCACUAAGUGUAGGUUCAAGUUUUAAUACAACUACACCUAUGCAUACGAUUUUGUCAAGUUGUCAAGAAUUUUGAUUUUUGAUUUUUGAUUUUUGAUUUUUGAUUUUGUUUUAUUUUGUAUUUUGAUGUAUUUUUAUGUAUUUUAAAAAUUGGUAGGGAAUUGUAAGGAAAUUUUUAAAAUAAUAUAUUUUUUUUAUUGAUUUUUAGUGAAUGGAUGCAACCCUUAGUGAGUGGAUGCAACUCUAAUCAAAGGAUGUGACUUUUAGUAAAAGGAUAUGACAUGAAAAGACACAUCUUUAUAGUGUGUCUCUUCGAGUAUAUGUCCGUUGGAAUUAAUUCUUACAUUCAUUGAACUUGACUCAUAUAACUAUUUGGUAGUUAUGGUCAAAUGAAAAGUCACAAUUGAAAGGUCACGUCACGAAAUACCCGUUCGUGGUCUAUAUAAGUCCACAGCGUUGGUUGCAGAAACGAAAGUAGAAAAAAAAAGAAACAGUUGAAGAGUUUAAAUCUCCAUUCAUAAUAAUUUCAUUCUUGUUUUCUUAUUCUUUUUGACAACUUAAUCAAGUGAGAGCUCAAAGGCUCGACUUCGUGUGUGCAAACGCAGUUGAAGUUUAUGCUUCAUUGUAUCCUGGGAGGCUGUUCGUUGACCCGGUGCACACCAAAUUGUUAGAACGGUAGGGAUGGAUUAAGCCUUAAGGAAAGUGGCAUUGCUACACGCCUUGAAGCCUUUUUUCAUCUUUCUAUUUCAUACCUUUUUCACUAUCUGCUCCAACAGCAAAUAGGGUUUAAAAUGUGACCUAAAGUGUGCAUGCUACCAAAUAUAGACAAAAUAUAACUGACAAAAUACAACAAGUUAUAUUGAAAGAACACAAUAAUCUACAAACAAUCAACUGUACUACAAAACCCACUACAACUUUUUUCAAAAAUCUAACCUCUAACCUAAUGAGGACAAUGUGGAUGCAAUGCUGAGGAGAGAGGGUGCGGUGGCGGCCUUGACGGUGGCAGCAGCAGCAGAGUCUUCGGUGCCGGCGACGGCGGCGUCGAAGUCGUCGGGUUCGGGCGGAGUGAGAGAGACAGAGAGGAAAUCGGGGAGAGGAGUAAGGGAGAAAGGAGAAGAGUUCGGGCGGAGUGAGGGAGACAGAGAGGAGAUCGGGGAGAGGAGUGAGGGAGAAAGGAGAAGGGUUCGGGCGGGGUCUAGGGUAUUCUAAUUAAAUGUGGUGAACUGUUCACUGCAUAUAAAAGCGGUAAACGGUUUACCGUAUUUAAAGACGAUGAAUGGUUCACCGCUUUUAAAUGCGGUGAAUAGUUAACCGUCUUUAAAAGUGGUAAACUGUUCACCACCUUUAAAGGAACGCGGUAAACCGUAUUCUUAAUUUUUCACACUAAUUCCCCACACCUGCCAGAGGCCCACAAAUGCGGUGAAUGGUUCACCGCAUAAGUAAAUGCGAUGAACCAUUCACCGCAUAUAAAGAUUUUACUCCGAGGAACUGACCUGGCCUAUUUGAGGCCUACUUUUACAAUAAAAUUUAGAGGACAAUUUUUAGAAAAAAAAUUUUAAGAUUAUUUAUAAAAAAAAUUCGUUUCUGCAACAUAGUACAUUUAUACUGUGCUAUUAAUAAGGUCACAUUUUCUAUUGAGACAUUAUUAUACUGCUGGAACGAAACAUCUAGUGAAUUAUUUAGUCUUCAAACAGAUAUCUGAUGUCACCAAUCUAGGAGAUGAUUACGAACCUAACUCUACAUGCAAAGAACUGCCUCAUGACAAUAUUAAGCGCAAUGAAAGCAAAGUGGAUGAUGAACAAAGAGGAGAAAUUUCAGAAUCCUUUGGAAUUGGAGGUUACGAAAGGAGGGACAACCUCUAAAGCCGAAAGCACCAAGGUGAAACACUAAAAAGAACGCAAAAACAUCACAAAUAUGGCCAUCUCCUUUAUCCAGUGUCCUACAUAGCAAAUUCCGAAAUUCCUCUUAUCUCCUCUUAUUUACUCGAGAACUAGUUGAUUGUUAAUAUACAUAAAAAGUUGUAUAAAACCAAAUAAAAAGGAAAAUGUAAUCUUAAUUUUUUAAGGUUAUGAUAAAUCAACUUGUAGGUAAAUAAACUACCUUAAGAAUUCACAACGACCAGCCAAACUAUGAACUUACAAUCACCCAAGAAAACCAUCAUCAAACAAAGGUGGUCUACAUACAACCUUUUGAGACAUCAGGUAGAUGUUUGCAUUAAAAAGUUUCCGAAAAGAAAAUAAGUUUUCUUAUCCGCUAUAACUUUCUCCUACUAGGCUUUUGUUAGGCUUCUCGCUAUAUUAGCAAGCAAAAUGAUAUCCUAAAUACUUUACCUUAAAUAAGGAAAAUCACAUAAAUAUGUUCCUCUCUAUAAACCAUAAAAGUAAAUUUGAAAUGUGUAAAAUUUCUAAUUUAAAAAUUUUUACAUUUCUAUUUUCCUGAUAUAAUUUGAAAUGUGUGCAGGCCACAGCCUCAGACGGAUUGAGUGAAGAGGCGGACUUUGCAAGUGAAAAGGAUGAAAACAUGUGCAAGAAAGAUGAUUGUGCUAGAGAGACCGCUCAAGAUUUUCUGGAGGAAACUACUCAUAGAGCUUGGAAGGGCGGAGAGGAAACAGAUGCAAAGAAUAUUGGAAGUGAAGACAAUGAUAGAGAUGUAAAAGGAAUCCCUGAUGUGGCACCUCAGGGAGAUUAUAAUACAAAGACACCAGAUAAUACAUACACAAAAGAAAUUAUGAUAGCAAUAGAACAAGAAGAUGAGGCAAGGACACAAGUGAGAUCAGACAAUGAGGAAACAGAAGGUGAAAAGGUAUCAACAUAUCAACUCUGCCCUUUUCAACUUUUGUAGUCUUUUUAAGCAUUUGCUAAUUACUAAACUGUUGACACGUGUAACGAAUUAGGACUGAAGAGGAAACUUGAGCAAUGAUUAUAUGAUUAUAUAGAUAUAAGCCAUAUCUGUUGUUUCCGUGAUACUGUAUUUUCUUUUGUGCUAGUUACCAUUAGCUUUAUUUUUUUAUCAAACCAUUUUAUUAACUUCUUACAAUUUCAUUUAAGCAGAUAUCUAGUGUCAAAGGUGACAGUGAACCCACAAAGGUGGAGAAUGAAUACAUAAGCAACACUGUUGGUGAUGCCUCUGAUACAGGAGAGCCAACUGGGAAGCCUGCAGACGUAGAUGAUGUGGUAGACGAUGUGCAGGAAGAAACCAUAGGAUCUACAUGUGACGAACAACAUCAGGAAAAUAUUGAGAGCAACGAAAAAAACGAGGAUGGUGAACAGAGAGAAGACAAACAUCAAACUCUUCAACAAGAGGAAUUAGUUUCUGAAGUUGAAAAUCAAGAGACAACCUCCACAACAGGCGCUAAAAAGAUGGAGAUCUCAAAAGAAGGCGAAAACCUCAUUAAUAUGGUAACCUGCUUUAUUCAAUUGCAUAGUAUGUUAAAUUCCUUGGGACCUUUCUGGAAGCUAAAAUAACUUACCCAGCAUAUCUUCUCUUACUGACUCGAGAACUAUUUAUUUCUUGAUUGUUAAGGAGAACAAAAUUAUGUCUAAACCGAAGAGCAAAAAAAGUAAGCAAACUUAUUUUUAAGGAUAUGAUAAAUCACCUUGUAGGUGAACUGGUGAAGCAUAUUAGUUUAUAUCAUCAUGGCGGAAAAUUGUCUAAAGUCAAAGUCUGUUCUCAUAAUCACUAAUUGUUACCUCCAUCCAAUACUAGUUAUCUACACAUACAUUAAGGGUUUGUAUAUUGCGCAGUUGUAGAGAUUUUUUACACUCCCUAUCAACCAUUACCACAUGCACCUUGAGCAAACAGAAAGUCAUCAGCUGAACAAGAUACUCGUGCGUCUAAGAUUCUAAAUAGGCCAUAUAGAUUUUGCAUUGAAAGACAAUACAAUAAUUCUAGCCUGUCAACUAUUUUUGAAACUUGUCUUUUAUUAAACCUCUAAUUUACCUACUGUGGGCAGAUUUCUGAAUCAGUAAAUCUGGAGGAAACUAAAAUUGAAAAUGACACGGAUGAUGAGAAGAUCAAGGAGAGCGUUGAAGAUAAUCCCCGAGAUCAUGCCUUGCUUUCACAAACAAGACAUGAUGUAGCAGACGAAGACCACACAAAAGCAGAUCAAAGUUUGGAAGGGAAGGACGGUAAUAUUGUAAGUCUUGAGAAAGAAAGUAUCAAAAGCAAGGGACCUGAUGAGGUUCACCCCAGUGAAUCAGAAGCACAUCAGCGUUUGGUGGACAAAGACAACAAUAUUGUAAGUCUUGAAAAAGAAAGCAUUGAAAGCAAAGGGCCUGAUGAGGUUCAACCCGGUGAAUCAGAAGCCACCAAGGUAGACUUUCUUUUGAAUUCUUCAAAACUUUAUGUAUUUAAUUUAACUAUUCAAUUUGCUUUCCUUAAACUCUCUGUUUUUCCAACAUGCCUCCUCAUCUCAAGUUUGACUUGUGAAAAUUUUGAUCAAGCAGGUUGCUGAAAUUGUUAGCACAACUGACGAAGCUGAAACUACGUCUGUAGAUGGAGGGGAAAGUGUUGAUGUUGACAAAGAUAAGGCAGAGUAUCAAGAGCACAAAAACGUUAUAGAGUCAGUGAUGGAGGAAUAUAAUAAAGGGGGAGCAAAUGAAACACAAAUGGCCAAGAGCCACCAGGUAAUAAUUGAUUCAAUGCCACGUAUGGUUUCGUACUAAGUCCAAAAUUCGUAUAUUUUACUGCAUGGCCAGAAGUAUAGAAACGAUUGAACUAAUAAUUCUUAGCUUCUCCUCUAAAACCCCCAUUUCUAUAUAACAUUAAUUGUUGUCCUAUCUUGAUCAGAUUCCUGAAAUGGAUGAUCUAAGCCCUGAAAAGGCUUCGGAGACAAAUGAAUCGGUGAUGAAAGAUAUGCAUGACAAAACUAAAACAAAGCAUGAAGAAGAGCCAGAUUUUGCAAGUAACAAGCCAAUUAAUCAGACUACCAUGCCUGAACAAAGUCGAAUUCCUGAAGAAGAAAAUACUAUCAUGGAAAGCAAAACAGAGUCAAGCUUCCCAAAGGAUGCAAUUGAAAAUGCCCUGAAAUCAGACCCUGAAGAGAAGGAUGAGGAAAUGCUAAAGAAUGACGAGUCCUCACAUAUUUUCCCAGAGUCCUCUCCCGACGCUGAUCAUAACAUUGCUGAGGGAUUAUGUCAUCAAGAUGAAGGGAACAAGAUAUAUGAGGAUGCAGCACCAGAAACUGCAUUCGGCAAUCAAAGCUGUGAAGCAAAUGAGGAGCAAAGAGAAACAGAGAAAAAAGAUAUGCCUAUGAAGUACAUUGACACUGUAAACAGUCAAGAAGAGACGAUACAUAAAGAAGAUUCUGAUAAUGUGGAAGAGAGCGAGAAGUGUGCAGGAGAGGAUGGAACCGCUUUAACACUUGAGCGAGCAUCUGCAGCAAAGGAUGAUGAACAAAGAGAAGAGAAAUUUCAAAAUCCUCAUGACAUAGAAUCAGAAAUGGACGUUAAGAAAGAAAAGACAACCUCUGAAGCAGAAAGCUCCAAGGUAGCGCACUUUUGGCAAAAACAUCACAAAUAUGUCCAUCUCCUUUAUCCAGUAUCCCACAUAUCAAAUUCCGAAAUUCCUAUUAUCUCCUCUUAUUUAUUCAAGAACUAUUAAGUUAGUUGAUUGUUAAUAUACAUAAAAAGGUGUAUAAAACCAAAUAAAAAGGAAAAUGGAAUCUUAAUUUUUUAAGGUUAUGAUAAAUCAACUUAUAGGUAAAUACACUACCUUAAAAAUUCACAACGACCAGCCAAACUAUGAACUUACAAUCACCCAAGAAAACCAUCAUCAAACAAAGGUGGUCUACAUACAACCUUUUGAGACAUCAGAUAGAUGUUUGCAUUAAAAAGUUUCAGCAAAGAAAAUAAGUUUUCUUAUCUGCUGUUACAUUCUCCUACUAGGCUUUUGUUAGGCUUCUAGCUAUAUUAGCCAGCAUAAUGAUAUCCUAAAUACCUUACCUUAAAUAAGUAAAAUCACAUAAAUAUGUUCCUCCCUAUAAACCUUAAAAGCAAAUUUGAAAUGUGUAAAAUUUCUAAUUUAAAAAUUUUUACAUUUCUAUUUUCCUGAUAUAAUUUGAAUGGUGUGCAGACCACAGCCUCAGACGGAUUGAGUGAAGAGGCGGACUUUGCAAGCGAAAAGGAUGAAAACAUGUGCAAGAAAGGUGAUUGUGCUAGAGAGACCGUUCAAGAUUUUUCGGAGGAAACUACUCAUAGAGCAGGGAAGGGCGGAGAGGAAACAGAUACAAAGAAUAUUGGAGGUGAAGACAAUGAUAGAGAUGUAAAAGGAAUCCCAGAUGUGGCACCUCAGGGAGAUUAUAAUACAAAGACACCAAAUAAUACAUACACAAAAGAAAUUAUGAUAGCAGUAGAACAAGAAGAUGAGGCGAGGACACAAGUGAGUUCAGAUAAUGAAAAAACAGAAGGUGAAAAGGUAUCAACAUAUCAACUCUGCCCUUUUCAACUUUUUUUAGCCUUUUUAAGCAUUUGCUAUUAACUAAACUGUUGAUACGUGUAAGGAAUUAGGGCUAAAGAGGAAACUUGAGCAACGAUUAUAUAAUUAUAUAGAUAUAAGUCAUAUAUGUUGUUUCCGUGAUAUCGUAUUUUCUUUUGUGCUUGCUAUCAUUAGCUUUAUUUUUUGAUCAAACCAUUUUAUUAACUUCUUACAAUUUCAUUUAAGCAGAUAUCCAGUGUCAAAGGUGACAGUGAACCCACAAAGGUGGAGGAUGAAUACAUAAGCAACACUGUUGUUGAUGCCUCUGAUACAGGAGAGCCAACUGGGAAGCCUGCAAACGUAGACGAUGUGGUAGAUGAUGUGCAGGAAGAAACCAUAGGAUCUAUAUGUGAAGAACAACAUCAGGAAAAUGUUGAGAGCAACGAAAAAAAUGAGGAAGGUGAACAGAGAGGAGAGGAACAUCAAACUCUUCAACAAGAGGAAUUAGUUUCUGAAGUUGAAAAUCAAGAGACAACCUCCACAACAGGAGCUAAAAAGAUGGAGAUCUCAAAAGAAGGCGAAAACCUCAUUAAUAUGGUAACCUGCUUUAUUCAAUUGCAUAGUAUGUUAAAUUCCUUGGGACCUAUCUGGAAGCUAAAAUAACUUACCCAGCAUAUCUCCUCUUACUGACUCGAGAACCAUUUAUUUCUUGAUUGUUAAGGAGCACAAAAUUAUGUCUAAACAAAGAGCAAAAAAAGUAAACAAACUUAUUUUUAAGGAUAUGAUAAAUCACCUUGUAGGUGAACUCGUGAAACAUACUAGUUUAUAUCACUAUAGCUUUUAGGGAAUUGUCUAAAGUCAAACUCUUUUCUCAUAAUCACAAAUUGUUACCUCCAUCCAAACUAGUUAUCUACAUAUACAUUAAGGGUCUGUACGUUGCGCAGUUGUAGAGAUUUUUUACACUCCCUAUCAACCAUUACCACAUGCACCUUGAGCAAACAGUAAGUCAUCUGCUAAACAAGAUACUCGUGCAUCUAAAUAGGCCAUAUAGCUUUUGCAUUGAAAGACAAUACAAUAAUUCUAGCCUGUCAACUAUUUUUGAAACUUGUAUUUUAUUAAACUUCUAAUUUACCAACUGUGGGCAGAUUUCUGAAUCAGUAAAUCUGGAGGAAACUAAAAUUGAAAAUGACACGGAUGACGAGAAGAUCAAGGAGAGCAUUGAAGAUAAUCCCCGAGAUCUUGCCUUGCCUUCACAAACAAUCCAUGAUGUAGCAGAUGAAGACCACGCAGAAGCAGUUCAAAGUUUGGAGGGGAAGGACGGCAAUAUUGCAAGUCUUGAGAAAGAAAGUAUCAAAAGCAAGGGACCUGAUGAGGUUCACCCCAGUGAAUCAGAAGCACAUCAAAGUUUGGAGGACAAAGACAACAAUAUUGUAAGUUUUGAAAAAGAAAGCAUUGAAAGCAAAGGUCCUGAUGAGAUUCAACUCAGUGAAUUAGAAGGCACCAAGGU